Molecule: ribosomal RNA, 428 nt
Filed under: uncultured bacterium
Lineage: Bacteria
Description: bacterial SSU rRNA
Rfam family: Bacterial small subunit ribosomal RNA
Source: RNAcentral
GCAGAACGCGAAGAACCUUACCAGGCCUUGACAUGCAGAGAACUUUCCAGAGAUGGAUUGGUGCCUUCGGGAACUCUGACACAGGUGCUGCAUGGCUGUCGUCAGCUCGUGUCGUGAGAUGUUGGGUUAAGUCCCGUAACGAGCGCAACCCUUGUCCUUAGUUACCAGCACGUUAUGGUGGGCACUCUAAGGAGACUGCCGGUGACAAACCGGAGGAAGGUGGGGAUGGCGUCAAGUCAUCAUGGCCUUUAUGGCCAGGGCUACACACGUGCUACAAUGGCAAGUACAGAGGGAAGCCAACCGGCGACGGGGAGCUAAUCCCAGAAAACUUGUCUUAGUCCGGAUUGCAGUCUGCAACUCGACUGCAUGAAGUUGGAAUCGCUAGUAAUCGCAGAUCAGCAUUGCUGCGGUGAAUACGUUCCCGGGUC